GAUGAACGCUGGCGGCGUGCCUAAUACAUGCAAGUCGAGCGAACGGACGAGAAGCUUGCUUCUCUGAUGUUAGCGGCGGACGGGUGAGUAACACGUGGAUAACCUACCUAUAAGACUGGGAUAACUUCGGGAAACCGGAGCUAAUACCGGAUAAUAUUUUGAACCGCAUGGUUCAAAAGUGAAAGACGGUCCUGCUGUCACUUAUAGAUGGAUCCGCGCUGCAUUAGCUAGUUGGUAAGGUAACGGCUUACCAAGGCAACGAUGCAUAGCCGACCUGAGAGGGUGAUCGGCCACACUGGAACUGAGACACGGUCCAGACUCCUACGGGAGGCAGCAGUAGGGAAUCUUCCGCAAUGGGCGAAAGCCUGACGGAGCAACGCCGCGUGAGUGAUGAAGGUCUUCGGAUCGUAAAACUCUGUUAUUAGGGAAGAACAUAUGUGUAAGUAACUGUGCACAUCUUGACGGGACCUAAGCAGAAAGCCACGGAGAACUACGU
Molecule: ribosomal RNA, 496 nt
Filed under: uncultured bacterium
Lineage: Bacteria
Description: partial 16S ribosomal RNA
Rfam family: Bacterial small subunit ribosomal RNA
Source: RNAcentral